CAUCCAUUCAGUUUCCAGUUUCUAGCCACUACAAAAAGGGCUGCCACAAAUAUUCGUGCACAUACAGGUCCCUUUCCCUUCUUUAUAAUCUCUUUGGGAUAUAAUCCCAGUAGUAACACUGCUGGAUCAAAGGGUAUGCACAGUUUGAUAACUUUUUGAGGAUAGUUCCAAACUACUCUCCAAAAUGGUUGGAUUCGUUCACAACUCCACCAACAAUGCAUCAAUGUCCCAGUUUUCCCGCAUCCCCUUCAACAAUCAUCAUUAUUUUUUCCUGUCAUCUUAGCCAAUCUUACAGGUGUGUAGUGGUAUCUUAGAGUUGUCUUAAUUUGCAUUUCUCUGAUUAAUAAUGAUUUGGAGCAUCUUUUCAUAUGACUAGAAAUAGUUUCAAUUUCUUCAUCUGAGAAUUGUCUAUUCAUAUCCUUUGACCAUUUUUCAAUUGGAGAAUGGCUUGAUUUUUUAUAAAUUAGAGUUAAUUCUCUAUAUAUUUUGGAAAUGAGGCCUUUAUCAGAACCUUUGACUGUAAAAAUAUUUUCCCAGUUUAUUGCUUCCCUUCUAAUCUUGUCCAUUAGUUUUGUUUGUACAAAAACUUUUUCAGUUUAGUAUAAUCAGAAAUUUUCUAUUUUGUGAUCAGUAAUGAUCUCUAGUUCUGCUUUGGUCAUAAAGACCUUCCCCUUCCACAGGUCUGAGAGGUAAACUAUCCUAUGUUCCUCUAAUUUAUUAAUAAUUUCAUUCUUUAUGCCUAAGUCAUGAACCCAUUUUGACCUUACCUUGGUGUACGGUGUUAAGCAUGGAUCAAUGCCCAGUUUCUGCCAUAUUAGUUUCCAAUUUUCCCAGCAAUUUUUAUCAAACAGUAAGUUCUUAUCCCAAAAGCUGGGAUCUUUGGGUUUGUCAAAGACUAGGUUGCUAUAUUUGUUGACUGUUUUAUCCCUUGAACCUAAUCUAUUCCACUGAUCAACUAAUCUAUUCCUUAGCCAAUACCAAAUAGUUUUGGUAACUGCUGCUCUAUAAUAUAAUUUUAGAUCUGGUACAACUAAGCCACCUUCAUUUGAUUUUUUU
RNAcentral lists this long non-coding RNA (1056 nucleotides) under Sarcophilus harrisii (Tasmanian devil). RNAcentral's name for it is "lncRNA (ENSSHAG00000022693.1)". Lineage: Eukaryota; Metazoa; Chordata; Mammalia; Dasyuromorphia; Dasyuridae. The record is from RNAcentral.